This 718-nucleotide long non-coding RNA is filed under the name Parus major (Great Tit). RNAcentral describes it as "lncRNA (ENSPMJG00000009439.1)". The record is from RNAcentral. Lineage: Eukaryota; Metazoa; Chordata; Aves; Passeriformes; Paridae.
GCCGGCUGAAGGGGGAGAGGGGCGCGGAGAGAGCCCCUGCAGCCCACGGGCCCUGCUGCGGCCUGGGCGCAGCGCAAGGCAGAGCACGGUGAUGGCCCUGCUCUGCCCCUGUCCCGGCCUCUGCCAGCCCUCUGCCUCUGCCAGCCCUCUGCCUCUGCCAGCCCUCUGCCUCUCCCAGCACUCUGCCUCUCCCAGCCCUCUGCCUCUGCCAGCCCUGCUCAGCUCCGAAAGGCUCACAGGCUGGGCUCCGCCAGGACACACUCGCUCGAGUACAGGAGAACGUGCUCAAACAUCGCCUUGAGCACAGGCAGCAAGGAGACAGGUGAAGGCUGUAUUUCUGCCUGUCUCAUCCCAGCCCACAGGACCCUCGGUCAGCUCAGGGAGCACCGGCUCACUCUCAGCCCAGAGUUCAAGAUGAAACAAUGUAAUCCUUUGAAGGUGGAAUCAAUUGGCAAAUCAGGAGCCAGCUCUGUGAACUGGAGUAGAUGGGAAGAGUGCCACCCGUUUGAAAAUGAGCAACACCAGACUCUGACAAGCACUCCUGUCUGAGGGAUCUUUCAAGCAUAAAAGCCUGCUUGAUUCUCUACCAAUUCCUGGGGGGCUGACUGGAGAGAAGGGGACAUCGGGACACUGCUUCAGUUCACUUCCACUGAGAAGCAGAUCUUUGGAGAGUGCUGGAACCAAAAUAAAUUUUAACAGCAUCUAAAGACUAGGCCCA